RNAcentral lists this ribosomal RNA (1387 nucleotides) under bacterium NLAE-zl-P538. RNAcentral's name for it is "16S ribosomal RNA". It matches the Rfam family "Bacterial small subunit ribosomal RNA". The record is from RNAcentral.
CAUGCAAGUCUACUUGAUCCUUCGGGUGAAGGUGGCGGACGGGUGAGUAACGCGUAAAGAACUUGCCUUACAGACUGGGACAACAUUUGGAAACGAAUGCUAAUACCGGAUAUUAUGACUGAGUCGCAUGAUUUGGUUAUGAAAGCUAUAUGCGCUGUGAGAGAGCUUUGCGUCCCAUUAGUUAGUUGGUGAGGUAACGGCUCACCAAGACGAUGAUGGGUAGCCGGCCUGAGAGGGUGAACGGCCACAAGGGGACUGAGACACGGCCCUUACUCCUACGGGAGGCAGCAGUGGGGAAUAUUGGACAAUGGACCAAAAGUCUGAUCCAGCAAUUCUGUGUGCACGAUGAAGUUUUUCGGAAUGUAAAGUGCUUUCAGUUGGGAAGAAGUCAGUGACGGUACCAACAGAAGAAGCGACGGCUAAAUACGUGCCAGCAGCCGCGGUAAUACGUAUGUCGCAAGCGUUAUCCGGAUUUAUUGGGCGUAAAGCGCGUCUAGGCGGUUUAGUAAGUCUGAUGUGAAAAUGCGGGGCUCAACCCCGUAUUGCGUUGGAAACUGUUAAACUAGAGUACUGGAGAGGUAGGCGGAACUACAAGUGUAGAGGUGAAAUUCGUAGAUAUUUGUAGGAAUGCCGAUGGGGAAGCCAGCCUACUGGACAGAUACUGACGCUAAAGCGCGAAAGCGUGGGUAGCAAACAGGAUUAGAUACCCUGGUAGUCCACGCCGUAAACGAUGAUUACUAGGUGUUGGGGGUCGAACCUCAGCGCCCAAGCUAACGCGAUAAGUAAUCCGCCUGGGGGAGUACGUACGCAAGUAUGAAACUCAAAAGGAAUUGACGGGGACCCGCACAAGCGGUGGAGCAUGUGGUUUAAUUCGACGCAACGCGAGGAACCUUACCAGCGUUUGACAUCCCAAGAAGUUAACAGAGAUGUUUUCGUGCCUCUCCGAAGGAACUUGGUGACAGGUGGUGCAUGGCUGUCGUCAGCUCGUGUCGUGAGAUGUUGGGUUAAGUCCCGCAACGAGCGCAACCCCUUUCGUAUGUUACCAUCAUUAAGUUGGGGACUCAUGCGAGACUGCCUGCGAUGAGCAGGAGGAAGGUGGGGAUGACGUCAAGUCAUCAUGCCCCUUAUACGCUGGGCUACACACGUGCUACAAUGGGUAGUACAGAGAGCUGCAAACCUGCGAGGGUAAGCUAAUCUCAUAAAACUAUUCUUAGUUCGGAUUGUACUCUGCAACUCGAGUACAUGAAGUUGGAAUCGCUAGUAAUCGCAAAUCAGCUAUGUUGCGGUGAAUACGUUCUCGGGUCUUGUACACACCGCCCGUCACACCACGAGAGUUGGUUGCACCUGAAGUAACAGGCCUAACCGUAAGGAGGGAUGUUCCGAGGGU